AGGUACAGAGGCUACAUACCCUCGCGGGGGCUGAUAGCUGGUUGCAUAAUUAUUUGAUUUAAGUCAAGGCAGCUUUACGCUAUAAAGAUAUUAAAGGCAAAGCUUUAAUAUUUACCCUAUUAACCCUCCAACAUGUCUAAUAUAAGCUUAAUACCGGCUAACUCCCGUUCCUGGGACACACAACAUUAACUUAAAUUACAAACAAUUGAAAACACAUAUGCAAUACUCGCCUCUACAGAGACACCUAUAAUGUUAUAACUAGUAUAUGAAAUCCAAUUUAACCUUAUUAAUUAUAUAUUUAAAUAAUUAAAACCUAUAUUUAAGUAAGGAACUCGGCAAAAUAUUAUCCAGCCUGUUUAUCAAAAACACCGCCUAUUGAAAAUAUAAUAGGGUCCAUCCUGCCCAGUGAUAUUUAUUCAACGGCCGCGGUACCCUGAC
Molecule: ribosomal RNA, 438 nt
Filed under: Platynereis dumerilii (Dumeril's clam worm)
Lineage: Eukaryota; Metazoa; Annelida; Polychaeta; Phyllodocida; Nereididae
Description: partial 16S ribosomal RNA
Source: RNAcentral